Long non-coding RNA from Gorilla gorilla gorilla (western lowland gorilla), 1535 nucleotides. RefSeq lists it as uncharacterized. The record is from RefSeq and is a predicted model, not a curated record. Lineage: Eukaryota; Metazoa; Chordata; Mammalia; Primates; Hominidae. The transcript is spliced from 2 exons.
CUCUGCCUCCCGGUCACCAGGCUGGAGGGGUCGUGCUCCUUUAGGGCAGCCAGCACCCAGCUCAAGUUCUCUGAAUCCAAUGGCCCAUGAGCCACAGCUCGGGAAGGAGAAGGAGCUGCCGGGGAUCCCACCAGGCAUGAGACACAGGCAGGCCCAGGCACAGGAAGCCCCAUGGAACCUGCCAGGUUGCAGCUGGGUCCAAUCCCGCCGGCCAUGCUGGGUGACUGCAGGCCCAGCCCACCCACCACGUGUGGACCCAGACACCUCCAUGACACCAAGGGCAAAGCACAAGUUCCAGGGUGGCCUCCCCUUGGCUCUUGGGGUGGGGACACCCAGCAGCUGGCACUCAGUUGGGGGGUUAUGUUUGCAGAAUCACAUCACCAUAUAAUCAAAGCACUGUCAGACAGAACUUGACCCACGGCCUCAGCCCCAGGGUGCUCAAUGCAGACUGUGCAGGUGACCCUCUGAAACUACCCAAGGACUCAGCCAAAGUGUAGUCCGGCCCCUUGCUCCUGGAGCCCUUCAGCACAUCCAUGGACCACCAUCAAGACAGGCACUGCAGGGCGCAGAGCCAACGUGCUGACCAACUCAGAAGCAGCAGCUUAGGAACCAGAGCCCCAAGCCACCCCGAUGCUGGCAGGGCCAACUCCAGGCGCCGUGCCUGCACAGCACCACACAACAACCUUUGCUAAGCGGGUCCCUUCCUUGGACCCAGACACUCUCAGUGACUCUGCUCAGGAGGCAGCACCACCAUGCUCUGGAGAAGAGGAGGCCGCCAGAGCCCGGGUGGUUUUAGUGGGUCUUUCCCUGAGGCAGAAACUCCAAGGCCAGGGACAAUGUGACCGAAGGGGACACAACUCUAUGGACACUGUCCGGGGAUCAAAGACGGUCAGCGUGCACCUAGGGAACGUUUAGCAAGCUGGGCUCCAUCUCCGCCGCUCCCAGGUGCGGGUCCCGUGUCGCUGUCCAGGCCCCUCAUUGCUGACACUCCCCUGGCUUCACUGGGCAGAGUCCACCGGCCCCCCAGCCCUGGGUGUGGCUGGCCCCUCCCUACCUCCCACGUAGCUCCCAGGCCUUUACGAAGCAAAUCUCCAUCCUCCAUCUCCACUCUUGGAAAAUGCAGGUGCCCUGCACACCCACAGCCCCGCCCCCGCCCCGCCACGGAGGCCUAUGGACGCUGCCACGACACCACAUGGCAGUUACUCGGUAUCUGGGCCCUGGACGCGCAAGACCCCGGAGGCCACAAACGGUACAGGUACACAGCCAGGAGUCACACUGCACACCCCCACCCGUACCUGAGGCAGACUGGGAUUGAAAUUUUAUUUUUAAAAGGUAAAGCUGUUUUAUUAAACGUCUUUUAAGGACUGGGAGUAUGACAUAACAAACUUGAGCAACAUGUGUAAACACGUGUGAAAUGCGGUUUGAUUUCAGUAGUUUAUUUUGAAGACAAAGCAGUGCAAGAGGCCGGCCACGCUUUCCUGUUCCCCGGGGCUCAGGGUCAGAACUAGGAAAGGUGACGUACAGACAUUAAUCGG